GUCGAGCGGGGAGAUGUAGCUUGCUACAUUNCCUAGCGGCGGACGGGUGAGUAAUGCUUAGGAAUCUGCCUAUUAGUGGGGGACAACAUUCCGAAAGGAAUGCUAAUACCGCAUACGCCCUACGGGGGAAAGCAGGGGAUCUUCGGACCUUGCGCUAAUAGAUGAGCCUAAGUCAGAUUAGCUAGUUGGUGGGGUAAAGGCCUACCAAGGCGACGAUCUGUAGCGGGUCUGAGAGGAUGAUCCGCCACACUGGGACUGAGACACGGCCCAGACUCCUACGGGAGGCAGCAGUGGGGAAUAUUGGACAAUGGGCGCAAGCCUGAUCCAGCCAUGCCGCGUGUGUGAAGAAGGCCUUUUGGUUGUAAAGCACUUUAAGCGAGGAGGAGGCUACUUGGAUUAAUACUCUNGGAUAGUGGACGUUACUCGCAGAAUAAGCACCGGCUAACUCUGUGCCAGCAGCCGCGGUAAUACAGAGGGUGCGAGCGUUAAUCGGAUUUACUGGGCGUAAAGCGUGCGUAGGCGGCUUUUUAAGUCGGAUGUGAAAUCCCUGAGCUUAACUUAGGAAUUGCAUUCGAUACUGGGAAGCUAGAGUAUGGGAGAGGAUGGUAGAAUUCCAGGUGUAGCGGUGAAAUGCGUAGAGAUCUGGAGGAAUACCGAUGGCGAAGGCAGCCAUCUGGCCUAAUACUGACGCUGAGGUACGAAAGCAUGGGGAGCAAACAGGAUUAGAUACCCUGGUAGUCCAUGCCGUAAACGAUGUCUACUAGCCGUUGGGGCCUUUGAGGCUUUAGUGGCGCAGCUAACGCGAUAAGUAGACCGCCUGGGGAGUACGGUCGCAAGACUAAAACUCAAAUGAAUUGACGGGGGCCCGCACAAGCGGUGGAGCAUGUGGUUUAAUUCGAUGCAACGCGAAGAACCUUACCUGGUCUUGACAUAGUAAGAACUUUCCAGAGAUGGAUUGGUGCCUUCGGGAACUUACAUACAGGUGCUGCAUGGCUGUCGUCAGCUCGUGUCGUGAGAUUUGGGUUAAGUCCCGCAACGAGCGCAACCCUUUUCCUUAUUUGCCAGCGGGUUAAGCCGGGAACUUUAAGGAUACUGCCAGUGACAAACUGGAGGAAGGCGGGGACGACGUCAAGUCAUCAUGGCCCUUACGACCAGGGCUACACACGUGCUACAAUGGUCGGUACAAAGGGUUGCUACCUAGCGAUAGGAUGCUAAUCUCAAAAAGCCGAUCGUAGUCCGGAUUGGAGUCUGCAACUCGACUCCAUGAAGUCGGAAUCGCUAGUAAUCGCGAUC
Molecule: ribosomal RNA, 1293 nt
Filed under: Acinetobacter johnsonii
Lineage: Bacteria; Pseudomonadati; Pseudomonadota; Gammaproteobacteria; Moraxellales; Moraxellaceae
Description: bacterial SSU rRNA
Rfam family: Bacterial small subunit ribosomal RNA
Source: RNAcentral